This 391-nucleotide unclassified non-coding RNA is filed under the name soil metagenome. RNAcentral's name for it is "partial contains 5.8S ribosomal RNA, internal transcribed spacer 2, and large subunit ribosomal RNA". The stretch from base 1 to 122 matches the Rfam family "5.8S ribosomal RNA", at positions 35 to 154 of the family's 154-position model. The record is from RNAcentral.
GAUGAAGAACGUAGCGAAAUGCGAUACUUGGUGUGAAUUGCAGAAUCCCGUGAACCAUCGAGUCUUUGAACGCAAGUUGCGCCCGAAGCCACUAGGCCGAGGGCACGCCUGCCUGGGCGUCACACGCCGUUGCCCCCCCAUCUACUCCUUCGGGAUUGCGGGGGGGCGGAUGAUGGCCUCCUGUGCGCCUAGCCGCGCGGUUGGCAUAAAUACCAAGUCCUCGGCGACGCACGCCACGACAAUCGGUGGUUGCGAAACCUCGGUUGCCCGUCGUGUGCGUUCGUCGCGCAUCGAGGGCUCGAAAAAAUGCUCGGCUCCGGCUGGGCUUUCAACGCGACCCCAGGUCAGGCGGGGUUACCCGCUAAAUUUAAGCAUAUCAAUAAGCGGAGGA